GACGAACGCUGGCGGCGUGCCUAAUACAUGCAAGUUGAACGCAACAAAGACACCAGAGCUUGCUCUACCGUCUUUGUUGAGUAGCGAACGGGUGAGUAACGCGUGGGUAACCUGCCUUAUAGCGGGGGAUAACUAUUGGAAACGAUAGCUAAUACCGCAUAACAAUAGAGAUUGCAUAAUCUUUAUUUGAAAGUGCCAACUGGUACACUAUGAGAUGGACCCGCGUUGUAUUAGCUAGUUGGUAGUGUAAUGGACUACCAAGGCGAUGAUACAUAGCCGA
Molecule: ribosomal RNA, 280 nt
Filed under: uncultured bacterium
Lineage: Bacteria
Description: partial 16S ribosomal RNA
Rfam family: Bacterial small subunit ribosomal RNA
Source: RNAcentral